RNAcentral lists this long non-coding RNA (467 nucleotides) under Vombatus ursinus (common wombat). Its description in RNAcentral is "lncRNA (ENSVURG00010011123.1)". The record is from RNAcentral. Lineage: Eukaryota; Metazoa; Chordata; Mammalia; Diprotodontia; Vombatidae.
GCCGGAGCUUGGGUCCCUGGUUGCCUGGAAACCCUCCCUGAGCUUCCUCAGCGUUCUGAGGUUGCUAGGAGACGAGACGACGCCUGCCCAAGGGAGAGACCAUGUGCAGCCCGAGCUCCGGGGGCGGACAACGUACCGGAGGGGUGCCGGUUUCCAAGUUGAGGGUUCGAGGGAGUUGGGAGACUGGGGUGAGUUCUCUCCUGGGCCCUCCUGACCUGCCCGGCCAGAAGCCAGCUGCCCUGCCUGGCAGUGCCAAGGAUGCCCCACCGGGGGGUCCCGGGCUGUCCUGCCACCAAGAAGAAUAUGUCUGGAGGCUGACCCAGCUCCUGGGCGCAGCGCCCCCUGGUCGAGGAGAGCUCAGCCCCUGCAGCUCGGACUCCAUCUGUACGGAGGACUUCGCUGCCCGCUUCCAAGAGGCCAUGGUGGAGGCGCUGCCGCCCGAGGAGCAGGAGGAGGAGCGGGCCUGC